This 641-nucleotide ribosomal RNA is filed under the name Physcia halei. Its description in RNAcentral is "SSU rRNA". It matches the Rfam family "Bacterial small subunit ribosomal RNA", at positions 379 to 1035 of the family's 1533-position model. Lineage: Eukaryota; Fungi; Ascomycota; Lecanoromycetes; Caliciales; Physciaceae. The record is from RNAcentral.
UAGCUAGUUGCAUCAUAGUAGAUAUGAUGCAAGAUCGACUAUGUUGAAUAAAAUUCUAGGUAGAAUUAUGAUAAUGACAUUGUCUGCCUAUGUGUCUUGACCAAAUUACGUGCCAGCAGUCGCGGUAAUACGUAGAAGACUAGUGUUAUUCAUGUUUAAUCGGUUUAAAGGGUACCUAGACGGUAGAUCAAGCUUUCUAAUAAAGGAAAAGGACUAGUUUACUAGAGUUACUUAUGAGGGGGUAUUAAAGUACUGCUGGUGUAGAGAUGAAAUUCUGUCAUACCUCUUUUCAAAAGAAAAACCAUGGCACAGGUAUAGGCGAAGGCAUCCCCUUAUGUGAUAACUGACGUUGAGGGACGAAGGCUUUGUGUAGCGAACAGGAUUAGAUACCCCAGUAGUCGAAGCAGAAAAUGAUGAAUGUCAUAGAUUAGAUAUAUAAGUUUAUUCUAUAAAUGAAAGUGUAAGCAUUCCACCUCAUGAGUAAUUUGGCAACAUUGGAACUGAAAUCAUUAGACCGUUUCUGAAACCAGUAGUGAAGUAUGUUGUUUAAUUUGAUGUCCCGCAAAAAACCUUACCACAAUUUGAAUAUUUAUAUUGUUUAUUGUUUUAUUAUUAAUUUUCUUGAACGGAAAGAUCACGUA